RNAcentral lists this long non-coding RNA (5500 nucleotides) under Heterocephalus glaber (naked mole-rat). RNAcentral's name for it is "lncRNA (ENSHGLG00000033199.1)". The record is from RNAcentral. Lineage: Eukaryota; Metazoa; Chordata; Mammalia; Rodentia; Bathyergidae.
CUGUGAGCCUCUGCCCUGGGCAGCUUUCACUAUGCAGAGAAAAUUUCUUUUCUGCCUCUCAUAAACCUAUACUUUAACUGCCUUUUCUGCAUGUCUUGUCCAAUUCUUUGUUCAAGACAUCAACAACCUGGAAAGAAACCUUGUAGGACCAGUUGCAGAGCCAGAAAAAGUGCCCACGGGAAUGCAGACACUGUCACUGCUUUGGAGGCUGGAUAUGCAGCCUAAGGAAAUUAGUGCUUAACAAGAGCCGGGCUCUGCUGGCUUUGCAACUCUUGCCUGGAGGCUGUGGCUGCACCAGGGGCCAAAGCAGUCAGAGAGGCGGGCCUGGCAGAGGCUGUGGUCACCUCUAAGAUUGCUGAGCCUCAGAAGUCCUCAAGGCACACACAGUCAGUAAUAGUCUAGGCUCUAAGAGCCAGAGGAAAGGGGGGGUGUUUGCAUUUUCCUCAUCUCCACAGCUGCCUCCAGCUGAAGGCCCCUGGCUUGGAGCUCCUGCCUCUACACUGACUUCUGCCCUGAGAAGAGGCUGGUGCCAUAGAGGGGAGUCGGAGGGGCCUUGUCCUGCUGUGAAGAAAGUUCCAGAGUCCUGGCCUGUACUCCCUGGUUGCUGGAAGAAGAUAACUCUUGGGAAGUUUAGAAAUCGUCUCCCAGACAUGUAACAAGGAGUUGCUGAGCUGGUGGUGCUGAGUCUUCUUUGCCAUGGAUUUCACCUUCAGAAGCUGUAACCUCCAUAGAUUUCAAGGGUAUGAAAGGUCCUGAGACUACACUGUUGGAACGACUGCAUCACACCACUCUGCGCUCCCAGAGGUAGACAGGAGGGAGAAGCAUCUUUCCACUUUAUCCACGUUACCCAUUGUUGUUACUGAUUUAUUUUUAAAUCCAACUUGGCUUCUCCCCUGAAAACUGUUGAGAAGUAAAGAAAACUGACCAUAGCUUCCUGAAGUCAAAGCACCUAAAACAAAGAGAAGGCCAUGGAAGUGAGUAAGGGGCUUCUCCAAGACUGCAAGGUCACCCAAGGUCCCUACCGUCCAUGCUGCUGAGAAGCUGCCAGUUUCUUCUUUGCUUGGUUGGUCUCACAACCAACCACCCACUCCCACCCACUAUACCUCAACACCCAACCUGGAGAGGUGUUGUUCUCUGGGUCCUGAAAACACUAAGGGAAGCUGGGAGUAGGGGGCACAUGCCUGUAAUCCCACCACUUGGGAGGCUGAGGCAGGAAGAUGGUGAGUUCCAGGCCUGGAUUGCAUAGAAAGACUAUGUCUCAAAACACACACACACACACACACAUGGGGACUCACUACGGCUUUGGACUGACCCACCCCCGACCUCUCUGGGAUGAUGGCGCAGGGAAGAGCACCCUCAGUCUGUGGUACACUAGCCCCUGUUCUUGGGUUGGGGCUCAGAUGAAAAGCGAAGGUCACUUUUCUAGGCCUGAAGAGGAAAUGUAAAUCUCUCCCAGCCCACGUGGCAGAAGCUGCCAGAAGGCCAUUGCCCUGUUAGUAAACAGGGCUGCCUGGGCCAUCUUUCUCUUUUGUAAUAACCUGCAGGGCACCUAUUGAUUGCACGUGCUGGUCCCUCAUAAGUGAGGACAGGGCUGUCUUCCGGUUGCUCUGGAGCUGUGAGGGUGCCUAAAUUGGCUGACUAAUACUGCAUGCUCAUGGAGCACAGUGUCCUGUGCCACCUAAACAUGAAGAAUAUGUAUCAUCAGGCGCCGUGAGAGUGCAGGCCCCAACUCCAGCGGCUUCAAGGCUUCCGGGCGUGCUGCAGACUGCAAUUAGGCAGUUUGCUUGCCUCCUCCCGAGAGGAAAGAACACUGAUGUGGCUCCUGCUGCAGCCUGAGCUACUUUAAGAUGGAGGGAGCGGCAGGUCUUGGAGGGUGGGCAAUGGGCCAGCUCCUCACCUCAGCUACCCCCUCAGCAGGAAUGGCAGCCAGCAAAUAGAAACCAACCCACAUCUUUUAGCCUGUGGUGGACAGAGUUAUGACUCAAAAGACACGUUCAAAACCCCCACUUCGGCCACUUUUGGCUGUGUGAUAUUAGUGGCUUAACCUCUCUGAGCCUCAGCAUCUCAUCUGGAAAGUUGAGAAAAUAAUAUUUCCUUAAUUGUUCAUGUGGUUAGGCCUGCCUGGAACCCAGUAUCCUCUCAUAAAUACCGGCACUGAGUCAAAAGCAGCUGAACACAGCAGUAGGUACCGGACUGAAACUACUUUUCCUUUCCACCCCUGAAAUCUGGCACCAGGAACUUUUCAGUGCUAUUGCCAGGCAAUGCCUUGCUAUCUAAGAAGUGAGGCCAGGAAACUCCUGGCUUGAUAAAUUGGAAUUAUCUCUCCCAUCCCUUUCAUCUUUCUGUGCCCCUCCUGACCUAGCUUCUGAAUUUAACAUUGAUUCCACAGGGAAUGUCACUAAAAUGUAUCGUGAACACAGAGAAGCAUGGCACCAUAGCUUACCCUUCUAAAAGAAAACCUUGGCACCCGCAGGCCCACCCUGGGCAGAGCCUUCAGAGCGUCUCUAACUCUGGCCCUGGACAAUGGGCUCUAUGAGUAGCACUGUCCUUGCAGCUCACUUGUGGCUCCUUUGUUGAUGUUGCCACAAUCAAAGCCGAUGAAAGGACGGUGUGAAGAGCCAUAUUUCCAUAUUUUCCUCCUGGUCCUGGAAAUGACAUCUACUGCCUUGGGACGGAGGGUACAGUGGGUGAAUGGUGCCCCCCAAAUAUAUGAUCACACGGGGACCCUGUGAGUGUGAUCUUCUUUGGGCAAAGGGUCUUUACAGAUGUGAUUAAAUCAGCAUCUUGAGCUGCCAUUGUUCUAAAUUACCUGGGGUGGGCAGGCGGCGUAAAUGGAGUGACAAGGGUCCCUUGAGACAGAAGAGGGACUGGCACAGAGAGAAGCUCAGGAGAAGAUGAUGGAGAUGCAGCCUGGAGUGAAGCAGCCCCAGUCAAGGCUUCCUGGGCCAUCAGGAGCGGGGGGGGGGGGGGCAGAGGAAGACUGUCUGGAGAGCCUUUGGAAGGAGGGAGUGUGGCCCUGCUGACACCUGGGUUUGGGACUCUGGCUUCUACAAUUGGGAGAGGAUGAAUUUCUAUUACUUUAGGCUACUGCUGAGGCUUAGAUACGGUUUUUCUCCAAAAGCUCAUGUGCCCGAGACUUGGUCCCUGAUGUCCUGGUAUUGAGGUGUUGAUGACUUUCAGAAGGGUGAUUAGCCAGGGGCAGCACCCUCAGAAAGACCGGCUUGGUUACCCUCAUAGGGGAUUGAUAAAAACGAAUGUGGCUUUCUUUUUUGUUGUUGUUUUUUUGAGACAGGAACUCACUAUGUAGUUCAGGCUGGUCUAGACUCACUAUGUAGCCCAUGCUGGCUUCAAACUCAUGGCAAUCCUCCUGCCUCAGCCUCCUGAGUGCUGGCAUUACGGGGAUGCACCACUAUGCCUGGCUUCUUCUCUCAGCAUAUGACCUCUCCUGCCUGUGCUGCUGCCCUGUGAUGCCAUCUGCCCAGAAGCUGAGGCUACACAAUGCCACACACUUGGACCUCCAGAACUGUAAGCUAAAUAAACCUCCUUAUUUUCUUUAUGAAGGAAGGUAUCUUAUGAUACGAACAAGGUAUCUUGUUAUAGCAACACACAGUGGACUGAGAGCCACCAAGCUUGUGGUCGUCUGUGAUGGCGGCUCUACUCCAGCAUGCUCCUGGGGUGGGACACAGCUCAAGGUCAUCUUCCACGGGUGAUGUUUUCCCUGUCUGUGGCAGGACUUACCUGAACAACAGCCUCAGCUGGCCUGGCCUGCAAUCCAGGAGCCGCAGACAACCAGAUAGGAGUGUGGCUGAGGAUCUGCCUGGGACAGAGCCUUCUGAAAUGCUGGAAACAGGCUCCAUCUUAGAACUAGACAGACUGAUGUUGAAAUCCCAACACUGACUGACUCUGAGGCCUCUCUGCCUUUCAAGUCCCUCAUCAAUAAAGCGAGGAAAUAAUGUUUACCUUGUAGGCAAGAGCAGGUCCAGCAUCCAAAGCUUACAGAAUUUGGGUGACACUUUAAAAGAGAAAGAAUACAACGAUUUAAAUCCAAAGUUAGGGAAGGAGUCUUGGGAGGCCCUGUAUAAGUUCGGGCCCCUGAGGUGUAAGUCAGGCCCACUCUGUUCAUUGGUGCUCAGAGAAUCACAGGUGAAAACAGGGAGCACAAGGCAGAGCCUGGAUCCUGCUGAGAGCUCUGUAAGAGACAAAAGUUGUCAGCUGGGCGUGGUGGUGCACGCCUGUAAUUCCAGCGCUUGGGCGGCUGAGGCAGGAGGAUCACUUCAAGUGAGUUCUCUGUCUCCAAAAAAAAAAGAAAAGAAAAGAAAAAGAAAGUAUGGAGAUAUGUGUGGAACACAGAAGAAACUCUGAAGGAUACAUUCCAUAGAGACUGCAGUUGUUGCUCUCUUGUCUCUUUUCCCUUCCUUUUGGUAACAGGAAACUGACUUCUAGGACGAUGGCUGUGUGCUCAGCUAAAGCCACCUGUCCCAGCUUCUCUCACAGCUGGGUGUAGCCAUGAGACUAAAUUUUGGCCAAGGAAGUAUAAACAAAGCGUGAUGGCUGAAAUCCAGCUUCCCCAGAGUUCACAGAGGAAGCGCUCACCUCGUGCUCAGAGUGUGGCCCUAACGGAAAGAGGGUCCCUGAGGACAUUAACCGAGGGGAUGGGGGACUCACAUCCCACAUGAAUAAUGGCCUAAUGAAAAGGGGAAAUUAAGACGCGCACGCGCACGGAGAGCGCUGCGUGAAGAUGGGGCAGAGACCAGCAGCUACUUCUACAAAUCCAGGGACCUCAAAGGCUGUCGCAGAAGUCAGGAGAGGCAGCAGUGCUCAGAAGGCACCAAUCCUGGGUUGCCAGCCUCCAGACUGAGAGAAGGGCGACAGUUUCUGUCAUACGGAGACCGGUAUCGCAAAUGGCAGACAGAGUGCAAGGAGGAACCCGGGACCCCAAAAACCUCAGGGAGCUGUCACAUUACUCUUGCACUGCCUACCCCGGGGCUUAUUUUCUAGAAAAAUAAACUUAAGCUUUUGUUAUUGUUUUAUUUGGUUUUUGAAAUAUACGAUUUUGAUAAAUUACUCUUUGAGGGGAGGGCUUGGAAUUGAAAUAUCAGUGAAGAAUUUUUGCUUUACCUGUAACGUUUCAAUUCUGAUUUCAAGGAUAUAUUUAGGUAUUCUUUUGUAACUAAAAUAAAAUUAUUUCAUAAAUUACAUGAGAAAAAAGUAUGAGAACAAAGAUUCAAAAAGAUCUACGAAAUAUUAUCAACUGCAAUGUAUGAAUCUUAUGUGGAUCCUGGCUUACCAAAAGAAAGGGAAAUUUUUUGAGACAAGCUCUCACUGAGAGUCUAGGCUGAGGCAGGAGGAUUGCUGUGAGUUCAAGGCCAACCAGGACUACAGUCAAUUCAAGACCAGCUUGGACUACAAAGUGAGACAUUGUAAAUAAAUAAGUAAAAUAAGCCAAAAUAAAUAAAGUUAUGAAACAGAUGAGUACAUUUAACAGCCGUUACCCCCCCCC